RNAcentral lists this ribosomal RNA (240 nucleotides) under uncultured bacterium. RNAcentral's name for it is "partial 16S ribosomal RNA". It matches the Rfam family "Bacterial small subunit ribosomal RNA", at positions 100 to 334 of the family's 1533-position model. The record is from RNAcentral.
CCGGCACGGGUGGGGUAACACGUAUCCAACCUGCCGUCUACUCUUGGACAGCCUUCUGAAAGGAAAGAAUUAAAACAAGAUGGCAUCAUGAGUUCACAUGUUCACAUGAUUAAAGGUAUUCCGGUAGACGAUGGGGAUGCGUUCCAUUAGAUAGUAGGCGGGGUAACGGCCCACCUAGUCAACGAUGGAUAGGGGUUCUGAGAGGAAGGUCCCCCACAUUGGAACUGAGACACGGUCCAA